CCUACGGGGGGCAGCAGUGAGGAAUAUUGGUCAAUGGGCGAGAGCCUGAACCAGCCAAGUCGCGUGAAGGAUGACGGCCCUACGGGUUGUAAACUUCUUUUGUCAGGGAGCAAUUGGGUCCACGCGUGGGCUUAGCGAGAGUACCUGAAGAAAAAGCAUCGGCUAACUCCGUGCCAGCAGCCGCGGUAAUACGGAGGAUGCGAGCGUUAUCCGGAUUUAUUGGGUUUAAAGGGUGCGUAGGCGGAAUAUCAAGUCAGCGGUAAAAAUUCGGGGCUCAACGCCGUCGUGCCGUUGAAACUGAUGGUCUUGAGUGGGCGAGAGGUAUGCGGAAUGCGUGGUGUAGCGGUGAAAUGCAUAGAUAUCACGAAGAACUCCGAUUGCGAAGGCAGCAUACCGGCGCCCAACUGACGCUGAAGCACGAAAGCGUGGGUAUCGAACAGGAUUAGAUACCCCUGUAGUC
This 460-nucleotide ribosomal RNA is filed under the name uncultured bacterium. RNAcentral's name for it is "partial 16S ribosomal RNA". It matches the Rfam family "Bacterial small subunit ribosomal RNA", at positions 338 to 795 of the family's 1533-position model. The record is from RNAcentral.